This is a non-coding RNA of Pelobates cultripes (western spadefoot toad), 696 nucleotides long. NCBI's taxonomy places the organism in Eukaryota, Metazoa, Chordata, Amphibia, Anura, Pelobatidae. The record is from the annotation of a GenBank genome assembly.
AGCACGAAUAGGAUCGGAGUUUCAUUCAUUCGAAUGAAAUUGCGAUCAGAAACAAAGUCCCGAAUUGCGUUCUAACACAAAUGGAGAAACUGUUCUCAUUCUGUUAGGACGCAAUUCGGCAGUUUUGCCGGCGUUCUGUCUAAGUGACAGGACGUUCAGCAAUACUGACAGGAAGCAUCGCAGGAACAGGGAGGAAAGAUAAGGAUUAUGGGAAAAUUGCUCUGACCACCGGAAACGAAACACACUUUGCACCUCCGCUGGUCAUGGCUUAGGAAAACCCCAGAAGAGAAAUAGUCCCUACUUUGUCUUAAUUUUUAAAGAAAACUAGAGGAGACAGGAAGAAAUAAAGAACAGAUCCCGAGUGAGGGAGAGAAGAGGAAUCGAUUGGGGAAAGGUAAGUUCGGCAUGACAGUGCCGCUUUAAUGUACACAGAUACACACUAACACACAAUGCACACAGACACACGUGGACACACUGACACAGAUACACAUACACGCAGAGACAGGAGGUGAGGGUGACAGUGUGGGAGGGAGUGUGUGUGUGCUGGUAACAGGGUGAGGGGGCAGUGUGAGAAAGGGUUACAGUGGGCGGGCAGGCGGAGAAAUGGUUACAGUGUGGGGGGCAGAGGGAGAAAGGGUUAUAGUGUAUGGGACAAGGGAAGAAAGGGUUACAGUGUGGGGGACGGGGAGAAAAGGC